GCAAUUGUAACUCAAUUGGCAGAGUGUGACCUUGCCAAGGUCAAAGUUAAGGGUUCGAAUCCCUUCAGUUGCU
Molecule: transfer RNA, 73 nt
Filed under: Pseudo-nitzschia cuspidata
Lineage: Eukaryota; Bacillariophyta; Bacillariophyceae; Bacillariales; Bacillariaceae
Also listed under: 2 other names
Description: tRNA-Gly
Rfam family: tRNA
About the family: Transfer RNA (tRNA) molecules are approximately 80 nucleotides in length. Their secondary structure includes four short double-helical elements and three loops (D, anti-codon, and T loops).
Source: RNAcentral